GGAUGUGGCUCGGUGGUAGAGUUUUUGCCUGGCAUGCGUGAGGCCCUGAGUUCAGUCCCCAGCACCA
RNAcentral lists this transfer RNA (67 nucleotides) under Marmota monax (woodchuck). RNAcentral describes it as "tRNA.Ala". Lineage: Eukaryota; Metazoa; Chordata; Mammalia; Rodentia; Sciuridae. The record is from RNAcentral.